RNAcentral lists this ribosomal RNA (203 nucleotides) under uncultured bacterium. RNAcentral's name for it is "partial 16S ribosomal RNA". It matches the Rfam family "Bacterial small subunit ribosomal RNA", at positions 1299 to 1500 of the family's 1533-position model. The record is from RNAcentral.
UGAAGGCUGAAAUUCGCCUUCCAUGAAGCCGGAAUUGCUAGUAAUGGCAGGUCAGCAUACUGCCGUGAAUACGUUCCCGGGCCUUGUACACACCGCCCGUCACACCAUGAGAGUUGGGAAUACCCGAAGCCUGUGAGCCAACCGUAAGGGGGCAGCAGUCGAAGGUAGAAUCAAUGAUUGGGGUGAAGUCGUAACAAGGUACC